UACAGAGGGGGCAAGCGUUGUUCGGAAUUACUGGGCGUAAAGAGCUCGUAGGCGGUUCGAUAAGUCGGGUGUGAAACCUCCAGGCUCAACCUGGAGACGCCACCCGAUACUGUCGUGACUAGAGUCCAGUAGGGGAGCGUGGAAUUCCUGGUGUAGCGGUGAAAUGCGCAGAUAUCAGGAGGAACACCAGCGGCGAAGGCGGCGCUCUGGGCUGGAACUGACGCUGAGGAGCGAAAGCGUGGGGAGCAAACAGG
RNAcentral lists this ribosomal RNA (254 nucleotides) under uncultured bacterium. Its description in RNAcentral is "partial 16S ribosomal RNA". It matches the Rfam family "Bacterial small subunit ribosomal RNA", at positions 524 to 776 of the family's 1533-position model. The record is from RNAcentral.